CCUUGAACCACCGCACUCUGGGCCCUUCACAGUGGAGGACAUGCACCGGCAGCUGUGCCACUGCCAACCAGGCAAGGCUCAAGGACCAGAUGGCAUCCAGACACGGGUGCUCAAGAGCUGUGCUCCUAUUCUCCACUCCAUCUUCUGGGAGACCUACAGGUCUGCUUCAGUGCUCUCCCUAUGGAAAACAUCCACUGUGAUACCAGUGCCCAAGAAACCCCAUCCUUCAGAACUUAACCAGUUCCAGCCAGUUGCACUCACUUUGUCAUGAAAUGCUUGGAAAAACUGAUUUUGAACAUCAUCAUGCCAUUUGUCAGACCCUUAUCUGUUCUACUACAAAGCCAAAAAGGGGACUGAUCAUCCUUUGGUAUUACUCCUUCACUCCUUCCUGCAGCAACUUAGAUAACCUGAUAACUUUGCCUGACGAUUUUUCUUUGACUUCAGGUCUGCUUAAGUUUCAAAACACUUCAGUGCCACCCGAUGAUCAGAAAACCUCCCCAUCUAAAGGUGCCCCAACUCCUUGUUCACUGGCUACACAGCUUCCUCAGUCACAGAAAACAAGCAGUAAGAGUGGGCACAGGAACAUCUUCAACCACCAUUACCAACCCUGGAGCCCCAUUAGUCUGGAAGUUAAACAAAUCAGUCAAAUCCAUCAGGGAUAAUUUCAUUCACGAAUAUUACAAUAAUUUCCGUCAAUUACCUUUAAUUCCAUAAUGAGGAUGAGACAACGAUGAGCUAAAAAUAGAACACUGAUAAUAUAAAAACUCCUACAAAUGUAUGUUUGGUUUUUGUUUGAGAGGACACAGGGAAGAUUUCUCACAUUGUUAAACCAACAAUUAAGAUAAUAUCUUAGACGUUUUUAUAUCAGACACUCUUCAGGACGACAGUUUAUUAUUUGCAUGCUGUUACACAGUUUAUAUGUUUAAAGUUUUUUCCUGUUUUGGUAGUGUUUAAUUUGGUUGCAAUCACUUUAAGAGCUACAGGAAGUAUGCCUCAAGUGGUUGUGUCACAUGACCUGUAAUCAGGAAGUGAGGAGGCAUUAGACAACAUGGUUUUGUUAUGUUAUGGCCUUAAUAAUCCUGUGACAUCUGCUUGAACGUUCUUGCCUUUGAUAGCAUAGUGGAUGAUCACCAAGAACGGCACAACAGCAUUGCAUUAGCUGUCUAAAUCAACCAACUAAGAUGAGCUCACAGGGGACCUGAUCUCUGGGAAACAAAGAUAGCAGUAAGCAGAACAGGAGGAAACUGUGGGAGAGUUGAGGAUGGAUGACGGUAUGACUUCUAAUAUUAAUGGAUUUUGGUCAGAUGAUGAGAAUAAUAUCUGGUCAGUGCAGUCAUUUAUGUGCCGAAUACAAAGUUUUGUG
Long non-coding RNA from Notolabrus celidotus (New Zealand spotty), 1363 nucleotides. RefSeq lists it as uncharacterized. The record is from RefSeq and is a predicted model, not a curated record. The transcript has 3 exons. Lineage: Eukaryota; Metazoa; Chordata; Actinopteri; Labriformes; Labridae.